UGGAGAGUUUGAUCCUGGCUCAGAUUGAACGCUGGCGGCAUGCCUUACACAUGCAAGUCGAACGGCAGCACGGGAGCUUGCUCCUGGUGGCGAGUGGCGAACGGGUGAGUAAUACAUCGGAACGUACCCAGGAGUGGGGGAUAACGUAGCGAAAGUUACGCUAAUACCGCAUAUUCUGUGAGCAGGAAAGCGGGGGAUCGCAAGACCUCGCGCUCUUGGAGCGGCCGAUGUCGGAUUAGCUAGUUGGUGAGGUAAAGGCUCACCAAGGCGACGAUCCGUAGCAGGUCUGAGAGGAUGAUCUGCCACACUGGGACUGAGACACGGCCCAGACUCCUACGGGAGGCAGCAGUGGGGAAUUUUGGACAAUGGGGGCAACCCUGAUCCAGCCAUGCCGCGUGAGUGAAGAAGGCCUUCGGGUUGUAAAGCUCUUUCGGCGGGGAAGAAAUGGCAACGGCUAAUAUCCGUUGUUGAUGACGGUACCCGCAUAAGAAGCACCGGCUAACUACGUGCCA
RNAcentral lists this ribosomal RNA (512 nucleotides) under uncultured bacterium. Its description in RNAcentral is "bacterial SSU rRNA". It matches the Rfam family "Bacterial small subunit ribosomal RNA", at positions 1 to 510 of the family's 1533-position model. The record is from RNAcentral.